Molecule: ribosomal RNA, 982 nt
Filed under: uncultured Flavobacteriaceae bacterium
Lineage: Bacteria; Pseudomonadati; Bacteroidota; Flavobacteriia; Flavobacteriales; Flavobacteriaceae
Description: bacterial SSU rRNA
Rfam family: Bacterial small subunit ribosomal RNA
Source: RNAcentral
GUGCCAGCAGCCGCGGUAAUGCGGAGGGUGCAAGCGUUAUCCGGAUUUAUUGGGUUUAAAGGGUCCGUAGGCGGAUGCGUAAGUCAGGGGUGAAAUCUCACAGCUCAACUGUGAAACUGCCAUUGAUACUGCGUGUCAUGAGUGAGGUUGAAGUAGCUGGAAUAAGUAGUGUAGCGGUGAAAUGCAUAGAUAUUACUUAGAACACCAAUUGCGAAGGCAGGUUACUAAGUCUCAACUGACGCUGAUGGACGAAAGCGUGGGGAGCGAGCAGGAUUAGAUACCCUGGUAGUCCACGCUGUAAACGAUGCUAACUCGUUUUUGGGGAUUUAUCUUCAGAGACUAAGCGAAAGUGAUAAGUUAGCCACCUGGGGAGUACGAACGCAAGUUUGAAACACAAAGGAAUUGACGGGGGCCCGCACAAGCGGUGGAUUAUGUGGUUUAAUUCGAUGAUACGCGAGGAACCUUACCAAGGCUUAAAUGGGAAUUGAUCGGUUUAGAAAUAGACCUUCCUUCGGGCAAUUUUCAAGGUGCUGCAUGGUUGUCGUCAGCUCGUGCCGUGAGGUGUUAGGUUAAGUCCUGCAACGAGCGCAUCCCCUGUCACUAGUUGCCAUCAUUCAGUUGGGGACUCUGGUGAGACUGCCUACGCAAGUAGAGAGGAAGGUGGGGAUGACGUCAAAUCAUCACGGCCCUUACGCCUUGGGCCACACACGUAUUACAAUGGCCGGUACAGAGGGCAGCUACACAGCGAUGUGAUGCAAAUCUCGAAAGCCGGUCUCAGUUCGGAUUGGAGUCUGCAACUCGACUCUAUGAAGCUGGAGUCGCUAGUAAUCGCGCAUCAGCCAUGGCGCGGUGAAUACGUUCCCGGGCCUUGUACACACCGCCCGUCAAGCCAUGGGAGUCUGGGGUACCUGAAGUCGGUGACCGUAAAAGGAGCUGCCUAGGGUAUAACAGGUAACUAGGGCUAAGUCGUAACAAGGUAGCC